This 220-nucleotide long non-coding RNA is filed under the name Elaeis guineensis (African oil palm). Its description in RNAcentral is "long non-coding RNA (EGUI_LNC011473)". The record is from RNAcentral. Lineage: Eukaryota; Viridiplantae; Streptophyta; Magnoliopsida; Arecales; Arecaceae.
CCCCCUCUUAUCCUUGCCAUCUUACCUCUUUUACUUCCUCUCUAUCUUCCGGUCCUUCCUCUUCCCUCCACCACUCCCCUCAUUUUCAAAUCCAAGGAGAAACAUUUGUAGCUUAAUCCAAACUUCAUUUUGAUCCGACUGUGGAUCCGGUCUUACCAUCCUAUCAAACUAUGGCUAGAUUGUUUGAAGCUUGAUUUGGUUCGUGGACUUCUAUUGAUGU